RNAcentral lists this ribosomal RNA (1262 nucleotides) under Halorubrum alkaliphilum. RNAcentral describes it as "bacterial SSU rRNA". It matches the Rfam family "Archaeal small subunit ribosomal RNA", at positions 101 to 1360 of the family's 1478-position model. The record is from RNAcentral. Lineage: Archaea; Methanobacteriati; Methanobacteriota; Halobacteria; Halobacteriales; Haloferacaceae.
UGGCCAAACUACCCUUCGGAACACAAUACCCUCGGGAAACUGAGGCUAAUAGUGUAUACCACACUCACUCUGGAAUGACAAGUGUGCCAAACGCUCCGGCGCCGAAGGAUGUGGCUGCGGCCGAUUAGGUAGACGGUGGGGUAACGGCCCACCGUGCCGAUAAUCGGUACGGGUGGUGAGAGCCAGAACCCGGAGACGGAAUCUGAGACAAGAUUCCGGGCCCUACGGGGCGCAGCAGGCGCGAAACCUUUACACUGCACGACAGUGCGAUAAGGGGAUCCCAAGUGCGCAGGCAUAGAGCCUGCGCUUUUGUACACCCUAGGGAGGUGCACGAAUAAGGGCUGGGCAAGACCGGUGCCAGCCGCCGCGGUAAUACCGGCAGCCCAAGUGAUGGCCGAUCUUAUUGGGCCUAAAGCGUCCGUAGCUGGCCGCGCAAGUCCAUCGGGAAAUCCACCUGCUCAACAGGUGGACGUCCGGUGGAAACUGCACGGCUUGGGACCGGAAGGCGCGACGGGUACGUCCGGGGUAGGAGUGAAAUCCCGUAAUCCUGGACGGACCGCCGAUGGCGAAAGCACGUCGCGAAAACGGAUCCGACAGUGAGGGACGAAAGCUAGGGUCUCGAACCGGAUUAGAUACCCGGGUAGUCCUAGCCGUAAACAAUGCCUGCUAGGUGUGGCUCCCACUACGAGUGGGUGCUGUGCCGUAGGGAAGCCGCUAAGCAGGCCGCCUGGGAAGUACGUCCGCAAGGAUGAAACUUAAAGGAAUUGGCGGGGGAGCACUACAACCGGAGGAGCCUGCGGUUUAAUUGGACUCAACGCCGGACAUCUCACCAGCAUCGACUGUGGUAAUGACGGUCAGGUUGAUGACCUCGCCACGAGCCACAGAGAGGAGGUGCAUGGCCGCCGUCAGCUCGUACCGUGAGGCGUCCUGUUAAGUCAGGCAACGAGCGAGACCCGCAUCCGUACUUGCCAGCAGCACUGCGAAGUGGCUGGGGACAGUACGGAGACUGCCGUGGCCAACACGGAGGAAGGAACGGGCAACGGUAGGUCAGUAUGCCCCGAAUGUGCUGGGCAACACGCGGGCUACAAUGGUCGAGACAAAGGGUUCCUACUCCGAAAGGAGACGGUAAUCUCAGAAACUCGAUCGUAGUUCGGAUUGUGGGCUGCAACUCGCCCACAUGAAGCUGGAUUCGGUAGUAAUCGCGUGUCACAAGCGCGCGGUGAAUACGUCCCUGCUCCUUGCACACACCGCCCGUCAAAGCA